RNAcentral lists this long non-coding RNA (2739 nucleotides) under Trifolium pratense (red clover). RNAcentral's name for it is "long non-coding RNA (TPRA_LNC000645)". Lineage: Eukaryota; Viridiplantae; Streptophyta; Magnoliopsida; Fabales; Fabaceae. The record is from RNAcentral.
CAUUUUCUUCUUUCAUGUUCUGAAAUCUUCCAUUUUCUUACAUUUAACUCCGAACCAGAAUUUUUUCAUGACGGAACCACCGUGCCGGAACUCUUCUUCCGCCGUCAUCUUCUUCUCCUUCUGAUGUGAGUCUCCUAUUAAUUUUCUUUGUUCAAUUCAUGCUUCAAAACUAUAAAUUUUUGUUGAAAAUUUUAUAGUGUAAUUGUUAAAUCUGAAAAUUUGUUGUGUUGUUUGAAAUUAUCACCUUACUCAGUUUGUGUUACAAAAUCAAGAGACCAUUUGAAAAUUCUCCACUUCUGUUUUCUAUUUUUAAUCUAUGAAUCACAGAUACCGGAUAUGACACGGACACUUACAUGUCGAUGCCAAUAAUAUUUUAAGAAAAUGACAUAAUUUGACGUAAUUAUAUGUGCAGGUGUAGGACACCUGCGUGUGUUCGACACACCUAAUCCAAGGAGAGUCCAUGUUUCGUGGUUUGAGAUGUAUUUAAUUUUUCCAAGCUAUUCAUUUUGAUUUUGAUUUGGUCUCAAUUCUGACUUUGGGAUAGAUUGAGUAAACUUUAAUCUAUAUAAAUUUAAGAUAAUUACACAUGAAAGACAAGUGGGCAACAAGCUCCGCUAAUGUUGUGAUUAAUUUUUGGUUAAAUCUGAAACUUAGCUCAAUUUUGUUAAAUAUUGGUUAAAUAAUGUGAUUAAUUUCUGGUUUGGGUAUAUAUGUUUGCUGUUGUUGGAUUGUUAUGUCAUGUUUUGGACUGCUGAUCAUCCUCCCGUGCUGUUAGUCGGGAGCUUCACUACCUUAGGGAAGCUUUUUCGCGGUAGUUAGUCCUGCGCGGUUGUAAAGUGUGUUCUUGCAAACACCGUUUUAGGUUAACACUUGAUCAAAAAUGCUCUGAAGUCAAGUCUUAGAGGUAUAGUGAAUAUGUAAAAAGUGGUGAUCUGACCUAAUGGCACUAGGGUCCUAUAUAUAGGCCUUCAUCUAACGGAUAUGGCUAUCAUUUUGCCUAAAGGGUGAGGAGCGGUUAGCACCGCUCCGUCCCUUCGAUGUGUUCCCAUGUGUCCUAUUGUUUCGGACCUAUCCGCUUCUACACGACUUCAUCCAUCCUUAUCUAGGUUAUUUUACCCAUAGGAAAAGCAUGAGCUAGUCUUUUGGGCGUAUUGGGCUUCCUGUUAUAGAGGCGGGUCCAGCCCAACCAAAUUUCUGGGUCUCGCCCAGUCCAAAGUGAAAUCAGUAAAUUUAAGGUGGGGAAGAUAUGUAUUAGGUGUAGAAUUGGGAUAAUUUUUAGUUUUUUCUUAAACAGCGAAUGUCAAUAUUGUUAAUAAUUGUUGGCAUUAUUAUGCUGGGAACGGGGAUCAAACCCUCAACCUCCUUAGCACUCCACUUCUUAACUCCCCCACCUCAGUCACCAAACCAAUCUUAUUCUUAUAUCCAUUGGAUAAAUUGUUUGAUAAUUUGUAUGGCUAUAGGGAUUAUUUGACAUUAAAGCAUGACUUUUAUAUUUUCUUGCAAUUUAAUUUAUGCUAUUAUGAUAUGCUACUGUUUAUUUGCAAUUGUACAUUUGUAAAUAAACAGUAGCAUAUCAAAAUAAGAUGCAGUUUUUGUGGUCAUUCUAUUAAUCUCAAUCUCGAUAAGAAAGAGCUUUCUCCUGUAAUCAACGUUGGUAAUGUGAUUGUGAAGUGUAUUUAUUAAUAUGCUCUAUGCUCUAAGUAUAGCCCUUAAAUCCGAGUUGUCUAAUCCUACGUUUUUUCUGCAGUGUGAUGGCAUUAAACAAUAGCCCAACUAAGCUUCAUUUUCGAGCUUCUGUAUUUUCACGGUGGGAGUGCCUUGGAACACGAGAAAUAAUUGGUACAUGCUAAACCAAACAUACAUUAAGUAGUUAAGAACUUUUGUGUUAUAUGCAUCUGUUUUCGGACUUUGAUCCAAAAGUGUUGGAAUUAGAUUUCUAAAAUUGGUAUCAAUUAUAUUCUCAUGUUGGAUCCAAGAAAUUGUGAACUAAUGGUUAUUCCUUUAUAUAUUCUAAAUUGGUUUGUGAAUUGAGUGUUAGAUAAUACACAUUAGCAAGUCCUUUUGAUAGAAAUGAUGACUAGGUUGCUUAACCUUGGUGAUUUGAUACUAUUUGUGUAGUCUUUUGUUGAUUUACAUUUGUUUAUUUGUAUCCAUGUUUUCUUUUCUUUAUGCUAUCUUUUCUUUAUAAUAAUAAUGAAUGGAAAUAUAACCAUGUUUGGUCUUACAACUCUGUCAGGUUCAACCUUCUACAAUACAUGAAUUUAUUUUGCUUCCUUUCAAUUAAGAACAAAUGAACUACUGAUCAUUUGAUGACAGUAGCCAUUUAACCUACCUGUUAUUCAUACUCUAGAGUUUGCAACAAUAUAGCACCCUUGAAUUUCUUAGAUACCAUAGUGUUCGGUUUUAAGUGUGGCUGGUUAAGUGUGACAACGACUAUAAUGAGUAGAAUGUUGAAUGUAUAAGAUAAGUGAUAUCCAUUAAUCUAAUGUAUUAAGGUUUUGAGUAAAGAUGUGGUGUCUCUCUCGUGGUCUUGGAGCAUUUGGGCCUGUUGUUUCUCUCGUGCCCCUGCACUGUCCAACAAAUAGAUUCAGGAAAACAUGUAUAUAUACCCUAUACUAUCUUGACAAAUCCCUUCAAGCACACCUAUCUCACUGUAAACACUCCAUCAAAUUCAAUAAAGGGCCUUAAGUAAAUGAUUGGCAUACCAUAUAAAGAACAACAUAUGCACUUUUAUACAAG